This 279-nucleotide ribosomal RNA is filed under the name uncultured bacterium. Its description in RNAcentral is "partial 16S ribosomal RNA". It matches the Rfam family "Bacterial small subunit ribosomal RNA", at positions 506 to 784 of the family's 1533-position model. The record is from RNAcentral.
UGCCAGCAGCCGCGGUAAUACGGAGGGUGCAAGCGUUAUCCGGAAUUAUUGGGCGUAAAGCGUCUGUAGGCGGACAAUUAAGUGUAAUAUUAAAGACAACAGCUCAACUGUUGCGUCGUAUCACAUACUGGUUGUCUAGAGGCUUGGAGAGGUUAGUAGAAUUCUACAUGUAGGGGUUAAAUCCGUAGAUAUGUAGAGGAAUACCAAAAGCGAAAGCAGCUAACUGGACAAGUUCUGACGCUCAGAGACGAAAGCGUGGGGAGCAAACAGGAUUAGAUA